CUCUUGACUAAGUAUAAGAGGUAUAGCCUGCCCAGUGACUCUGUUCAACGGCCGCGGUAUCCUAACCGUGCGAAGGUAGCGUAAUCACUUGUUCUUUAAAUGAGGACUAGUAUGAAUGGCACCACGAGGGUUAUACUGUCUCCUUUUUCUAAUCAGUUAAACUAAUCUCCCCGUGAAGAAGCGGGGAUAAAACUAU
This 196-nucleotide ribosomal RNA is filed under the name Acris blanchardi (Blanchard's cricket frog). RNAcentral describes it as "partial 16S ribosomal RNA". It matches the Rfam family "Bacterial large subunit ribosomal RNA", at positions 1832 to 2076 of the family's 2925-position model. The record is from RNAcentral. Lineage: Eukaryota; Metazoa; Chordata; Amphibia; Anura; Hylidae.